AGCGAACGCUGGCGGCAGGCUUAACACAUGCAAGUCGAGCGGGCACUUCGGUGUCAGCGGCAGACGGGUGAGUAACACGUGGGAACGUACCCUUUGGUUCGGAAUAACGCUGGGAAACUAGCGCUAAUACCGGAUACGCCCUUUUGGGGAAAGGCUUGCUGCCGAAGGAUCGGCCCGCGUCUGAUUAGCUAGUUGGUGGGGUAAUGGCCUACCAAGGCGACGAUCAGUAGCUGGUCUGAGAGGAUGAUCAGCCACACUGGGACUGGGACACGGCCCAGACUCCUACGGGAGGCAGCAGUGGGGAAUAUUGGACAAUGGGCGCAAGCCUGAUCCAGCCAUGCCGCGUGAGUGAUGAAGGCCUUAGGGUUGUAAAGCUCUUUUGUCCGGGACGAUAAUGACGGUACCGGAAGAAUAAGCCCCGGCUAACUUCGUG
RNAcentral lists this ribosomal RNA (433 nucleotides) under uncultured bacterium. Its description in RNAcentral is "partial 16S ribosomal RNA". It matches the Rfam family "Bacterial small subunit ribosomal RNA", at positions 29 to 507 of the family's 1533-position model. The record is from RNAcentral.